RNAcentral lists this long non-coding RNA (381 nucleotides) under Ananas comosus (pineapple). RNAcentral describes it as "long non-coding RNA (ACOM_LNC009688)". The record is from RNAcentral. Lineage: Eukaryota; Viridiplantae; Streptophyta; Magnoliopsida; Poales; Bromeliaceae.
GUAGCAGUUACAUUGUUUGGCUUAAACAGAUCAGUAUCCUUCCACGUGGUGGGAGGCCAGGUUAGGCCGAGUCACAUUCGAAAUAGCGUGAGGUCGGGUUGGAUCGAGUUAUGUUCGAAAUGGCAUGAAACUAAUUGAGCUGAGUCACAAUCAAAAUCCGUAGGUGAUGUAUAUGUACGUUUUAAUUAAAUUGAUUGUGUAUUUUUAAUAGCUUAAAUGUUUGAAAAUAAUGGUUAGCGCUAACGAUUCAACCCAUAUCACAUCACGUCAAUUAUAUAUGAUCAAUUAAAUAUAUUUUUAAUAAAAGUAUAAUAAUAUUAUUAUUUUAUAAAUCAUGAUAGGAAAGAUGUAUCUUAAGAGGCAAUUGUGAUUGAUUGAGCC